UCACUUACCUGGACGGGGUCAAUGGGUGAUCAAGAAAGUCCAUGGCCUAGGUUGGUGACGUCCAUUGCACUUAGGAUGGGUGCCCGCCUAAGGUCGGCCCAAGUGGUCGAGCCUACGUCAUAAUUUGUGGCAGUGGGGCUUGCAUUCGCGCAGCCCCUGC
RNAcentral lists this small nuclear RNA (160 nucleotides) under Helianthus annuus (common sunflower). RNAcentral describes it as "sRNA HanXRQr2_Chr08g0321291". It matches the Rfam family "U1 spliceosomal RNA". From Rfam's summary of the family: U1 is a small nuclear RNA (snRNA) component of the spliceosome (involved in pre-mRNA splicing). The record is from Rfam by way of RNAcentral. Lineage: Eukaryota; Viridiplantae; Streptophyta; Magnoliopsida; Asterales; Asteraceae.